Long non-coding RNA from Astatotilapia calliptera (eastern happy), 2108 nucleotides. NCBI's taxonomy places the organism in Eukaryota, Metazoa, Chordata, Actinopteri, Cichliformes, Cichlidae. The record is from Ensembl.
CGCCAUAUUAUUUUGACCCCGAAAAUGGCGCAUCAGGCCAAAAUCCUUUCCACGCCCACCCCCGUGACAUCACGCUCCAAUGCCCUAUGGUAACUAAUGUUAUAAAAAUGUUCCGCCCCUAAUGAGCAUUUGAGCAGCCAAUCAGAAUCAUCUAUGUCAUGUGAUCAUGAGUACAGCAGCGGAUUGUUCUAGUGAGAGUUUCGAAGCACCAUGGAUGAUGAAUUUGAAGGUACCAGCUCUCAGAUGGUGAUCUUUUCUAAAAGCGAUAGGACAGGUGUGGAGGAGAGUGAAGCAAGAGAAUGGGUUCCUAAGUCUGUGAGCUCAUCUGAAGAUGAUGGGACAGAUGACUGGAAACCCACACAGGAUGAAUCUGAAGGCUAUUCAGAAGAGGAGGAAGAACAAGAACGUAAAAGGAUUCCUAAGAUGGUGGCAGCAUCUGAAGAGGAUGGGACACAUGAUAGCAGACCCACACAAGAUGAAUCUAAAGAUGAUUCAAAGGAUGAAGCAGAACAUUUGGGACAAAUGAUUCACAAAGUGGCCAUGGAAAAGAUGCAGCAGGCCUAUGUAAGCCAAGACAAAGCAAUGACUGUGAAUAAGAGUUCAGAAAAAAGGGUGAUUCACCAAACCAGAUGCUUGAAGAGGCUCACUUUUCAUCAGUCAACUCUCUUUGAAGACACGAUACCAAGAUCUGAUAACAACAAGAAAGACCAAAGUGGAAUGUCAUCUGCAGCAAUAAUAACCUCAGAACAACUGGAGGAGAAAGAGAUACAAGAAGAGUCUCUGGAGAAGAUGAAGAGUGAAGACAAAGAAGGGAAGAGAAAAGAAAAAGUACAGCAGGAGCCUCUGGAGAAGAUGAGCGGCAAAAGGCAAAGGAAGGAAGAAAAGAUACAGGCAGAGCCUCUGGAGAAGAUGAGCGGCAAAAGGCAAAGGAAGGAAGAAAAGAUACAGGCAGAGCCUCUGGAGAAGAUGAGCGGCAAAAGGCAAAGGAAGGAAGAAAAGAUACAGGCAGAGCCUCUGGAGAAGAUGAAGAGUGAAGCCAAAGUAGGAAAGAGAAAAGAAAAAGUACAGCAGGAGCCUCUGGAGAAGAUGAGCGGCAAAAGGCAAAGGAAGGAAGAAAAGAUACAGGCAGAGCCUCUGGAGAAGAUGAGCGGCAAAAGGCAAAGGAAGGAAGAAAAGAUACAGGCAGAGCCUCUGGAGAAGAUGAGCGGCAAAAGGCAAAGGAAGGAAGAAAAGAUACAGGCAGAGCCUCUGGAGAAGAUGAGCGGCAAAAGGCAAAGGAAGGAAGAAAAGAUACAGGCAGAGCCUCUGGAGAAGAUGAAGAGUGAAGCCAAAGUAGGAAAGAGAAAAGAAAAAGUACAGCAGGAGCCUCAGGAGAAGAUGAGUGAAGGGGGAAAGGACUCUGAAAAUAAGGUGCAAUUUAUUCCAUUGCUCCCAGUAAGCCCAAGAAAUGCCUUAUUUGAGGGCUUUUGCAUUGUAUUUGUUUUUGAAGAUUCCACUUUUUUUAUUACAUAAAAGAGUUGUUAAUAAAAAGUGAUCAUCUAAUACUGUGUCCAAUGAGUUACUGUCACGUUUAUUUUCUGGAAUCACUGGUGCUCUCAGACUUGACAUUAUAUAAUUCCACCAUAUGUGAGAUCAGUCAAAUUAAGAAAGGAGACAUGCUUCUUGAAGAAGUAAAAGUCAAAGCUUAAGAUAUAAUGUCAGUAUGUAAAUGUUGAAGUUUUGGGGUAUGUUGUACUAUACAGUCAAACCAUUUGAUGCCAUUUGGUCCUAUAUCUACACAAGUUUCAGUUGUAAAAUCAUAAGGCUAAUAAGUUCACAUAAACUUCAUAACUUAAUCAGAAUGUACAUAGAGGUCCUACCACUGGGGGAAAGACCAAGCACCACAAUCUACCACAUUUUCUGAACCACUUGCUCUCAUCCACAUAGGGAGCCGCAUUGAACUUGUUAAUCUAAUAAAAGAAAAAGUGACCUCAAUUUUGCAGCGGUUUGUUCUCCCCCCUGCCUGACUUUAAAUGGUAAAUGGCCUGCAUUUGUAUAGCGCUUUUCUAGUCCUUAAGGACCCCAAAGUGCUUUACACUACAUUCAGUCAUUCACACACUGGCGAUAGC